Molecule: long non-coding RNA, 2464 nt
Filed under: Equus asinus (donkey)
Lineage: Eukaryota; Metazoa; Chordata; Mammalia; Perissodactyla; Equidae
Description: lncRNA (ENSEASG00005035858.1)
Source: RNAcentral
CUGUGAACGAGAGGGAGCCGAGGGCUUCGUCUUCCCAGCAACAGGCGCUCGUGCCUCAGAGGCACGACAGAUUCCUAGGCGCUGCUUGAGUGUGACGUGUUUCCCAACUGCCACUACCCUCUUCAAAGUACUGACCUUGCAUAGUUUAAGCUAUUGUAUUCUUACCGCAUUAUCGGUUCGUCAUCUUUAUCGAUUCAUUUCCUUGCAUGCUUUCUACAGGCUGCCUCUGCAAGCCUCAGGAGGACAGUGCUCCUAAACUUGCCUGCACUUUACAUCACAUGGGGAUCUUCUAAAAAUUCCAAGCCCAGAGCAUACCCCAGGCCAAUUAAAUCACAAUUCCCUAGCGGUGGGAAACAGGUAUCAGUAGUUUUGGAAACUCUCCAGGUGAUUCCAAUGUGCAGAAAAGUUUGGGAACCACUGCCCUAAGGCCUUGCUGCUCAAAGUGUGGACUGUGGACCAGCAGCAUCACUAGAAAUCAGAACCUCUAACUACUUGAAUCAGAGAUCUCUGGGUGAUUUGACACACAUUAAGAUUUGGGAAGCACUGUUUAGAGGCCUGAAUGGAUAUGGGUAUCUUGAUUUAUGAGGACCACGUGUUUAAAGGAUGUCCUUGGAUGAGGAUAACAACGACAGGAUGGAUUGUGUGACCUUCCACCAGGGUCCAUCUGUUUAAAGAUGCAACAAGAUGAAAACAUGUCCUCCAUCUGCCACUCUCGCUUUUUUGUUGAACGAGCUGGGAUCCUGCAGAUGAGUGAGUGCUGUCUCCUGCCCGCUGGGACUGGUCUAGACCUGCUCCCAGCGCCAGUCCUACCACGUGCUAUUCCAGCAGGCAAGAAUCAGAGGCUUUGAAACUGUUCUUCUUGCAGAAGAACCCUCACCUGUGAUCUUGGAAGAAAAAAUUUUAAGAAACGAACAAAUUAUUAAUUUGGAAGCCAUCCUGGAGUUCUGAAAACUAAAAUCUGCUCUUUGAAAGAUACUACAGGGAAAAUAUGUCUAAAUACUCAACUAAUAAGUAAUUCUAUUCCAUAAGUACCUUCGAGUCAUGGUAGAUAUUUACGAAUAGGUUGAACAAGAAAAAAUUAAGGUCAAUUCUUCUUGAUCUGAGAAGCCUGAAAAAAAGUAGACAGUCUCAAACUUACUUCCUUUUACUCAGGGGAAAGGCAAUCUCGAGAUACAACAGUCUGGUUUCCAAGAGGGACCUGGAGAAGAGAGAAUGCAGGCAGCAGUGGCUGAAACAGAGCUGUCACCUACAGUUUGAAUAAUUUUAACACUAAUAUCAUUUACGUACAUUCAAGUGAACUCUUUUCUUUGUGCCCAGAUGGUGUAUUGACAUAACUGCUUUAAUGAAAAGAUCUUUUGACAACAAACGCGUUUUAGUUUUUGAAAGAGGAAGCAUUCCUUGUUGGGCUUAAUUGAUGAGGUUUAAAUAUCCUCUUUUUUCUAGGAAAUCUAGCUCUCUAACUCCUCUCGUGUUGUUAAUGCCCAGGGUGUAGGGAGCAACGGACUGAGAGUGCCCACAUCCCCCAGGGCCUCACAGAACCAUCUCAUCGGGGGUCUGCUCCCUCUGUACCUCCACCUCCGCAUCUGUUUUGUGGGUAUCUUCCCAUAGCAGGCACUUUCCUCCUGUUCCUGAGGAGGUUGUAAGCCCAGUGAGACAAGGUGAGUGAGCAUGCCUUACCUGGAAUGUGCUACUGCUUCAGUCCUUCCUCUGAUUUCCCCCAGCCCCAGCCCAGGUUGGGGCAGGGUCGACAGCUGGCCAAGAAUAUAAAACUGGCUGUUUGAACCAAUGGCUCUUUCAUGAGCUUAGCCAGGUGUCUGGUGUUGGGCCACAGUCAGUAUAUUCAUCUUUAGAGGCCAGAAGUCCAAGUUCCCUUCUGAGGUUGGUGGAAAGGAGGAGGAGAGGUGAAGCUGACCUCCUUCCCAGAAGGUGGAACCGAGGAUGACCGUCUACUAGCAGCACCCGGGGGACUAGCUCUGCGUCCUGGAACUUCCUUCUCUCAACAGGAAGUGAUGGACUGAAUAACACUUAACGCAAAGUGGGAAGCGGUCCUCCGCGUACAUGCCAGAAUGGUUAUAGACAGAGGGCUAAAGUAGUUGGAAGAAAAUUCUUAUUGAAAUAUUCCCGUCUGUAUUUUAGACAGAUUUCACCUCUGAGGAUAAAAUGAUGUAUUAUAGCAACAACAGCCUAAAUUAAUAAAAGCACAGGAAAAGACUUUAAUAGAAACUGGAAAUUUCUGUAACUUUUGCCCAACCCAGAACUUUGGGAGAUGUUAGAUGAGACAUCAGCUACAGAACCUAGAAUUGAGAGCAUUUCCCAGGACAUUAGUAAUAGGUUUAGCUAAAUAGGACUACGAUUCCUGCUCUCAUAGCUCCUCACUGUUUGCAAAGACAAAUAAUCACCCAGACUACAGAGACCAACACACAACAAAAAGGGAAAUUUAAUAAAUAUUUAAUAAACAUUUUUG